Molecule: long non-coding RNA, 1082 nt
Organism: Mustela lutreola (European mink)
Lineage: Eukaryota; Metazoa; Chordata; Mammalia; Carnivora; Mustelidae
Exons: 5
Source: RefSeq, a predicted model, not a curated record
GUGACAGCGGCCGGGCUGAGGCGAGGCGGCCUGCAGCCCGAGGUCCGGCCCCGCUGGUGGCCCUUGUCUCUCCCCAUGGGCUUGUCCCGGGCCGCACGAGAGGACAGAGCCGUCUCGGGCGAGAGCGUCCUCUUCGAGGCUAGUGCCUGGCAUGUGGUUGGUGGCCAGUACUUGGCCGAAGUACGUGCAGGACGAAGAAGCUGUGCGCUGAUCUCGAGGGCCGAGGCCGCCUUUGUGAAAGUCUCGAGCUGCAAGCGACGCGGAGACACGAGGGAGCGCAGCUAACGUGGGGGUGACCCAGGGUUCCGGGCUGCGGUCCAGGUGUCAGUAGGCAGUGAUCGGUGAGCUAGUCAGUGAUCCGGGAGCUAGUCGUAAGGGCCUUGAUCUUGUCGCUAAGGAAUUUGGGGUGCGAUGGGUUACCCAGGAGUCUAUUGAAGCCAGUGCAGGGUGCGUUGGGAACUUGUGAAUGGGAUCCCUUCCGGGGACACAAGCAAAGGAUGGAAGAGAUGGAGGAGCAAAUCGUGGAGGAGUCACUAGAGGGAGGAGCUAACCAGUAGGAAGCAUUCUGAGGAGGUUACUCCUAUCCUGGCUACCUUUAGCCUCCUGACUGGGAGAAGGGAGAAUAAAAAUCAAGACUUAGGGGAUUUGGGAGCAGAGAUGACAUUCACCGCUAUUCAGACUCACGGGAGUGGGAUGCUGCUUUAAAGAAAGGAAGGAGUGAGGGAAGGAAAACUGGGAAAAACAGAGAAGGGAGAGGGAGAUGAGGGAAGAGGCCGAGGAUCACGGAUUUCCAGCUUAUCUCCUAACUCAGGCCAAAGACCCUUCGGGCAAAGCAUCCCUCACAGGAACUGAAGCUACCCCUCAAGCAAAAAGAACUGCCCUGAGCCAACAAGACAGGGAUGGUGACUGACCCCAAGACCUGUGGACAUGACCUUCACUGCUCACCUGCCCGUACUCACCGACCUUUGUCCCACAGUUCCCUCUUACAAACCUGGAAGUAUUUUCAGCACUUUGGAGAUGGUCUUUGAGAAGCUAGUCUGCUGCCUUCCAGGAGUCCGCCUCUGUGAAAUAAAUUCCUAUCC